RNAcentral lists this ribosomal RNA (399 nucleotides) under uncultured bacterium. Its description in RNAcentral is "bacterial SSU rRNA". It matches the Rfam family "Bacterial small subunit ribosomal RNA", at positions 73 to 474 of the family's 1533-position model. The record is from RNAcentral.
GAGUAGCUUGCUACUUUACCUAGCGGCGGACGGGUGAGUAAUGCUUAGGAAUCUGCCUAUUAGUGGGGGACAACAUCUCGAAAGGGAUGCUAAUACCGCAUACGUCCUACGGGAGAAAGCAGGGGACCUUCGGGCCUUGCGCUAAUAGAUGAGCCUAAGUCGGAUUAGCUAGUUGGUGGGGUAAAGGCCUACCAAGGCGACGAUCUGUAGCGGGUCUGAGAGGAUGAUCCGCCACACUGGGACUGAGACACGGCCCAGACUCCUACGGGAGGCAGCAGUGGGGAAUAUUGGACAAUGGGGGGAACCCUGAUCCAGCCAUGCCGCGUGUGUGAAGAAGGCUUUUUGGUUGUAAAGCACUUUAAGCGAGGAGGAGGCUACCGAGAUUAAUACUCUUGGAUA